RNAcentral lists this ribosomal RNA (253 nucleotides) under uncultured bacterium. Its description in RNAcentral is "partial 16S ribosomal RNA". It matches the Rfam family "Bacterial small subunit ribosomal RNA", at positions 524 to 776 of the family's 1533-position model. The record is from RNAcentral.
UACGUAGGGUGCAAGCGUUAAUCGGAAUUACUGGGCGUAAAGCGUGCGUAGGCGGCUAUGUAAGACAGAUGUGAGAUCCCUGGGCUUAACCUGGGAACUGCAUUUGUGACUGCAUUGCUAGAGUGUGGUAGAGGGAGAUGGAAUUCCGCAUGUAGCAGUGAAAUGCGUAGAUAUGCGGAGGAACACCAAUGGCGAAGGCAAUCUCCUGGACCUGCACUGACGCUCAUGCACGAAAGCGUGGGGAGCAAACAGG